This is a non-coding RNA of Nylanderia fulva, 195 nucleotides long. The record is from RefSeq and is a predicted model, not a curated record. Lineage: Eukaryota; Metazoa; Arthropoda; Insecta; Hymenoptera; Formicidae.
UGAAGGCAUCCACGACAAGCAUUCCAAAAAGGAGCUCUUGUCUAAUUUUACAUAAUUUCUGGCAUUCCUGAAGGAUGUGCUAUUGAUCAUUCGCAAAUCAGUUCACCGAGAGUGCAAGAUUUCUCAAGAGGGAUUAAUUUUGAGAAACAUUCCCUUGACAGCGACAUAAUAAUUACUCCUUCUUCAAGAUUGUCA